Molecule: unclassified non-coding RNA, 328 nt
Filed under: uncultured Alfaria
Lineage: Eukaryota; Fungi; Ascomycota; Sordariomycetes; Hypocreales; Stachybotryaceae
Description: sequence contains ITS1
Rfam family: 5.8S ribosomal RNA (bases 1-105)
Source: RNAcentral
GAAAUGCGAUAAGUAAUGUGAAUUGCAGAAUUCAGUGAAUCAUCGAAUCUUUGAACGCACAUUGCGCCCGCCAGCAUUCUGGCGGGCAUGCCUGUCCGAGCGUCAUUUCAACCCUCAGGGCCCCCCUUCCGGGGGGGAACCAGCCCUGGUGUUGGGGAUCGGCCCGCCUCCGGGCGGCGCCGUCCCCCAAAUCUAGUGGCGGUCUCGCUGCAGCCUCCCCUGCGUAGUAGCAUACACUCGCACGAGGAGCGCGGCGCGGCCACGCCGUGAAACCCCCGACUUUCUGAACGUUGACCUCGGAUCAGGUAGGAAUACCCGCUGAACUUAA